UGGGCAUAACGGUUUGGCCCCGAUUCUCAAGUAUAACGAUAAUAUUAAUUUCGGUUAAAACUGGUCUCAACGUGCCCACAUUAAGCGGAAUUCAUUGUGUUUGAAAAAAAGUUGGAUUCAAAAAUCAAUAAGUUUAAUACAUUAAUUUUAUAAAAACGAUUGUUAUUUUAAUUUAUUUGUAUGUGUAUUAUUAUUUUUCUAUCGCAAUCAAACUUUUAAUUAAUCGAUGAUUAUUAUCGAUUUUAGAUAUUCUGAAAUUUAUAAAAUACUAAUAACGGUAAAAAAUUAUUUUUAGAUUUUGGGUGUAGCGAGGAAUGUAUUGGUUUUAUUAUAUUGUUUUCUAUGUCAGUCUAUGAGCGGUUUUCCUAGCAAAUAUAUAUUGUUUCAACGACAAAGUACUUUUUUUAUUACAUUUUGGAUCUAAUAGUUUGUAC
This is a non-coding RNA of Cinara cedri, 434 nucleotides long. The record is from the annotation of a GenBank genome assembly. NCBI's taxonomy places the organism in Eukaryota, Metazoa, Arthropoda, Insecta, Hemiptera, Aphididae.